AGAAUUGAUCUUGGUUCAGGACAAACGCUGGCGGCGUGCCUAACACAUGCAAGUCGAGCGUGAAAGGGACUUCGGUCCCGAGUAGAGCGGCGAACGGGUGAGUAACACGUGGGCAACCUGCCUCAAGGACUGGGAUAACUCCGGGAAACCGGGGCUAAUACCGGGCGAUGUCGUCUGGCGCAAGCCGGCCGACCAAAUGGUAGCUUCGGCCUCCGCCUUGAGAUGGGCCCGCGUCCUAUCAGCUUGUUGGUGAGGUAACGGCUCACCAAGGCUACGACGGGUAGCUGGUCUGAGAGGAUGAUCAGCCACACUGGGACUGAGAUACGGCCCAGACUCCUACGGGAGGCAGCAGUGGGGAAUCUUGCGCAAUGGGCGAAAGCCUGACGCAGCAACGCCGCCGUGAGCGAAGAAGGCCUUCGGGUUGUAAAGCUCUGUCAGGGGGAAAGAAGGCACCUGGGUUAAUAGCCCAAGGGCUGACGGUACCUCCAAAGGAAGCCACGGCUAACUACGUGCCAGCCGCCGC
RNAcentral lists this ribosomal RNA (523 nucleotides) under uncultured bacterium. RNAcentral describes it as "bacterial SSU rRNA". It matches the Rfam family "Bacterial small subunit ribosomal RNA", at positions 8 to 518 of the family's 1533-position model. The record is from RNAcentral.